This 284-nucleotide ribosomal RNA is filed under the name uncultured bacterium. RNAcentral describes it as "partial 16S ribosomal RNA". It matches the Rfam family "Bacterial small subunit ribosomal RNA", at positions 28 to 307 of the family's 1533-position model. The record is from RNAcentral.
GACGAACGCUGGCGGCGUGCUUAACACAUGCAAGUCGAGCGGUAAGGCCCUUUCGGGGGUACGACGAGCGGCGAACGGGUGAGUAACACGUGGGUGACCUGCCCUCAGCUCUGGGAGUAAGCCUGGGAAACCGGGGUACGUAAUACCGGAUAUGACUCCAUGACGCAUGUUGUGGGGUGGAAAGCCUUGUGCGGCUGAGGAUGGGCCCGCGGCCUAUCAGCUUGUUGGUGGGGUGGAUGGCCUACCAAGGCGACGACGGGUAGCCGGCCUGAGAGGGCGACCGG